AGUGAACGCUGGCGGUAGGCCUAACACAUGCAAGUCGAACGGCAGCACAGUAAGAGCUUGCUCUUACGGGUGGCGAGUGGCGGACGGGUGAGGAAUACAUCGGAAUCUACUUUUUCGUGGGGGAUAACGUAGGGACACUUACGCUAAUACCGCAUACGACCUACGGUUGAAAGCAGGUGAUCUUCGGACCUUGCGCGAUUGAAUGAGCCGAUGUCGGAUUAGCUAGUUGGCGGGGUAAAGGCCCACCAAGGCGACGAUCCGUAGCUGGUCUGAGAGGAUGAUCAGCCACACUGGAACUGAGACACGGUCCAGACGCCUACGGGAGGCAGCAGUGGGGAAUAUUGGACAAUGGGCGCAAGCAUGAUCCAGCCAUACCGCGUGGGUGAAGAAGGCCUUCGGGUUGUAAAGACCUUUUGUUGGGAAAGAAAAGCAGCAGGUUAAUACCCCGCUGUUCUGACGGUACCCAAAGAAUAAGCACCGGCUAACUUCGUG
This 492-nucleotide ribosomal RNA is filed under the name uncultured bacterium. RNAcentral describes it as "partial 16S ribosomal RNA". It matches the Rfam family "Bacterial small subunit ribosomal RNA", at positions 29 to 507 of the family's 1533-position model. The record is from RNAcentral.